This is an RNA transcript of Diachasmimorpha longicaudata, 16201 nucleotides long. RefSeq lists it as uncharacterized. The record is from RefSeq and is a predicted model, not a curated record. The transcript is spliced from 2 exons. NCBI's taxonomy places the organism in Eukaryota, Metazoa, Arthropoda, Insecta, Hymenoptera, Braconidae.
UUAGUGCGGCAACAGUGGGGUAUAGACGGUCAGUGGAGACGACGACAUUACGAAGCUCUUGUGAACGUUGUGUAGGUAAUGGUGAGUGGGUAGUGGGGUAAAUUGUAACCGGUGCUUGUGUGCGGAUCGCGCAGCCGCGUCAGAUCUCUUGUCAGUGUCAGUUGGUUCGUCGCGGCGACUUGUCGUGCCGUUCUGAAGUGAAACCCGAUUUGAAAAUAUAAAAUUUUUGUUUUUUUUAAAUCGUUACGAAGUACAUUUUGAAGAGUUUUUUUUUUCCCAAACGGGGAGUCAUUGUUGAGAAGGUGAAUUGUCCGAUAAUUGGUACCGUGAUUUAAAUGGAAAUAGUUUCUGGAUUAACUGAGAUAAGAAUUUCUAGAAUUUUCUGGAACUGUCUGCCGAGGGGAAUAUUCGAUUUGUAUUUAUUCGCCAGUGACUUUGGGUGGAGCGUAUUUACGACACGUCCAGUGACUAUUAAAAAAUCCGAGAGUCAAUAGCAAGUGAUUUCUGAAUAAUUUUCACGUUUUUGUAAGAAAUUUUUUUUCUGUUCGUUUUUUUUUUUUUUUGAGUUGAGCGACCGGAUUUGAGUAAUCUUUGAAUUAACGGUGGGAAUUGUCGUCUUGACGUGUUGAAUGAUUAUUUACGAUUCUUCAGUAUUCAAGAUAUAAGAACAUAUCCCGUGGAAGUACGUAGAGCCGAGGAUUGUGUAAUUCAGUAAAAAUACAACGUAGACACGAGGAGGAGAGAGAGUAUUUGCUGAGAGGGAACUUUUUUGAUCUUCGGAGAGUGGAGGUACAUCAAGUGGAAGAGAUAAUCAGUGGGUAAAAACUGGAAAAAAACGUGCUGGACGAUAGGUUGAAAACAUCCGGGAGGAUAGAACGAGAUUCUGACCAGACUUUUUAAUUAAAAAUCCAACUUCACCGUGAAAAACUCUCGAAGAAAAUUGCCCAGGUCUUAUAACCCUGACUGACGUAAUAAACAUAAAAGUUUUCAGACCCCCUAAAUAAACUCACCGCAACAUGAAUCGCGACAGUAAUUGCUUUAAACUUUAAUAUAAAAUGUGUGAAAGAAGCCAGCUUUGGUAAUUCUUCUUCAUCCACUGAAAUUCUUUAGAACAAUGAAAAGUAGAACUGGAACAUUCCAGGCAGGAAUUAACAACUGUACCAAGGCUGGACCAGGCUUGAACCAAGACAACCCAAGCCUGUUUCUAGACUGGUGUCAUAGCUUCGGGCUAGCGUGGGAUACCCUGGGAGUGAAACAUUAGAUGAAGCUUGGGAAGUUCAGGUUGGCCCAAGGGUAAAGGCCAGCUGUACAACGCAGGCCUGAUCCAAGCUUAUCUAACCCAAAGCCUGGCCUCAAUCAGGCCCUGGAAUUAAUGAGAUUGGAAAUCAAAAUUACCGCAUAUUUAUUUUAUUUUCCAUUUAUAACAUUGUUAUAAAAAUCACCUAUUAAACACUAAAACAUAAUAUAUAAAAAUCUCUUUUGCAAACAGUCCGAAAUGUGCAGAUGAUGUCGAUUUAAUCAAUCAUCCAUUAACAUAAGACAACUGUUGAUUAUUUAAAUAAAAACAAUAAAUAAUGGACUCCAAUCAAUUAUCAUAAUUUUAUGACUCCAGUGGCAUGACCAUUGACUGAAGCCAGAGACAAGAAGCUUGAACCAGGCUCACUACCGGGCUUCGGGGUGAUCUAUCGAAAUAACGUUGGCCCUAGGUUGGCAUCGGUCAAUCGGGUCCGGUUGAUUUCUUUGAUCCUAUUGUCAAUGCUUAGCAAUUCUAUAUGGAACAUUCGAGAUCCGAAAACUAUAACUUUAAACGGUUGUUUUCAUAAUUAUGCACUGAGGAAUAUUCGAGAGACGUUGGCGGAGUUACAAUCGGGUAUGUACAGUGAUACAUAGGUACAAUUGAAUCGUAGUGGUGGACAGAAGGGUGAGGUGGGUAGGGGGGGAGCGGGGAAACGCGAAAAUGCGGGAUGCCGUGAAUUUAUCGAUCGACGCUUGCGCGUCUCACUGAGAAAACUAGGUUCUGCCAAAGGACAUUAACCCUUGUCUACAUGAAGUAGGAAUUCUCCGCUGAGAUAUUUCAAUAAUGCGCGAUAAAAAAUGCGAAAGCUCAGUGAUUUUUUAGUGCUUUCAUGCUUAAUAAUAUUAGUAUUGAGUAAUCAAUGAGAAUAAAAAAGUAAUAAAUUGAAAUAAUUUUUAAUUGAUUUAUUUUUUGAAGGUAAAUUACUAAACAUUGCAAGUGUUUACUCAUGUAAUAUAUGCAAUGUAUGUAUAUAUAUAUAAAUGCCUAACGGGAAUAAGAAAAAUUCAGAAAUAAAUUCAACUUUGCAAUGGAAGUUCCAAAAAAUAUCAUUCAAUGGAAUUUUUAAAAAUCUGUAUAACUUUUUUAAAAAUUACUUAUCACAGGUGAGUAAAUUUUCAAAACACCCGAAUAAUUGUGUAAUAAUCACUAAUAAACCGAUCCGUUACAUGUCAAAUACACGUUUAUAUUAAUGUCGUAUCACCUCUACGUGUUUGUAAGGAAAAAAAAAUUUUACACGCGAUAAUCCGUUCACAUUUUCACUCGAUAGAAAUGAUUAUUUUAUCGACUGGAUAUUUAUAUUCGCCACGAAACUCAUGAAUUCGAUGAGGAAAAAAUUCAGCAGCUGUUAACGAAUACGAUAAUUAUAAUUUCACGUUUGUUUUUGGUGAGACAAAUACGUUGUUAUUUAAAUUGUUUAAUCCGUACGUCAAUUUUCCUCGUCCGCAGGGGGGAAUGAUCUCCUUUCCCCGAUUGUAUCAUCUUUGAUCGUCUUUUGAAUCUGAUUUAAUUCUCUGGCAUUGUGGGACACUUAGGUACCACUUACAUUCCAAUUGUUGUUGAUAUUAGCUAUCGCGAAGGUAAACAAAAAUUUAUGGAGCAAUUGGACAUUUGGAAAAGCCUCGUGUCAGUUAUUACCACGAAAAAUCGAUCACAGGUAUCGCGACGAUUGAUUGUUGGGAAAAUAUUCCCGAUGGAAUAUUCGCUUUCGUAAUAGAAUUUUAAAAGAUUUUUGAAAAACUUUUAAAAUGAAACAAAUUUUUAAAAAUUUUAACUGUUGUGAGGUACAAUCUUGUAACUGCAAUUUUCCCAAAUACGUGAAAGUUAUUUAUCAUUUAAAAAUUAAUUAUUUAUUUGAAAAAAAAAUUGAAGUCCUUGGGUGGGUAAAUGUCUAAUAGAAAGGCAAAUUCUUUAAAAUAGUGUCUUCCGAAAAUCUAAAAAAUUUGUUUGCGCCCUCAGGGAGAUUUUUUGAAAGUCUUUCGAUGAUUUCUCUGAAAAUCAAUUUUUCUAUCAAUUUUCUCAUCCCAAAUCGACUAUAUUAUUAAGUAUAAAUUAUAAAUUAUAGUAUAUUAUUAUAAAUAUAUUAUUGCAGUUGUUUGGAGUCCAACAAUCGCGUAUACUUCAAUCCAGUGUAGAAUGAAAUUGAUCUAAGUACAUUUUUCCAUGCAAAUAAAUUAUAAUUCCACAAUGAUUAAGCGGUCAAUUAAACUUUCAUCGUAAUAGACGUCACUGCAUUAACGAGCGAAGGUAUUGACCUCAUUACGCGUCAAAAUCGGGAUGUAUUAAUCGAGGUUUUAGAAAUCAAAACGGCAUUACCUUCGUACGUGCGUGUGACCAAGUUAACGUAUUCGGGGACACGAUGAAUCCCCAGAAUUGCAAUAAAACACUAAAUGCUAGUUAAAAACACCUAAAUGCGCAUUAACGUAAUUUUCAUUGCAAAAUCAAUGUCCUCUGGAUUUAUAAACCUACUGUUUAUUCUUGGGGAAAGUCGACCUCGUCGUACACAUGGGUCCUUCAUUUAUUCGAACGUUGAGCUCUAGUCGUUUGUUUGCAUCGGGGAAAAAUACGUCAAAUUAUUCAAUUACCUUUAUCAUCUCGUAUUCGUGACCCGAAUAAAUGUUUUAUUGUAUCGAGCAAUAGGAACCCGUGAAUUUAAGUUAAUUGAGCGGAAUCCGGGGGCUUCAGAGUGCGAAGAACAAUAUUUUCUGAAAGUUACGUUUUACAAUAAUUUUUUUUUUGGAUAAAAAGAAUUCUUAAAUAAUGUGAAAGUCAUCAGACUGCAAAGUAAAUAUUUCUCGAACCUUCAAUAUCUAUAUGUUUUGUGAAUAAUUGUGAGGAAUAAAUAUCCAGCUUUGAAGUCAGUAGUAACAGACCAAAAGAAGAAAAGGUCAGACCAAAUGUUCUUUUUCUUCUACAAAGAAUAAUUUAUUAAUUUUUUUUCCUUCUGCACGAUUAUAUUUUUCUGGAAGAAGAUAUUGUCGGUUAAUAAUUACGAUCAUGAACAAUCCUCGGUAAUUGUAGUUUUAAAAAACUGAUCAAAACUUUUUUUUUGAUAACAGUAAAAUGAUAAUUCCUGGAAAAGUUCAUCCUGAGUUACUUGGAAGCAAUCCUCCAGACAAUCAUAAUUAUCAUAAUUAAAAUUUAACUAAAAAUAAAGUCCGCUUCUCACGUGACUUGGACUUUAAAAAAAUUAUCAUUCGAAAAAAGAAUUCUUCAUUUUCGUGACAUGAAAAAUGAAUCGUGAAGUGAAGUAAUUAAAGAUAAUCCAUCCGGAAGUAAAUUGCAAAUUUAUUAGGAACAAUAGCUGCACUCAUUAAAAAAUGCAAUUAUCAUUUUUUUUGUUUUAUUUUCGCUUUACGACGUAAUGUGCAAGUUGAUUGAGUUUGAUCCAUGAUUAAUGGGCAUUGGAUUGAAGUUGGAGGAAGUUGUGUAUUAGGGACGAAAGGAGCAACAUUCUGACACGGAUAUAUCUUUCGCAGCGGUUCCCAACUACUUCCUGUUUAUCAAGUGCUCCUCAUCAAGUGGUAAUGCGUUAUUGACGAGUCAAGCAGAAGAGCAGCGGUUCAUUCUAAUAAUAUUUGCGAUAAAUUUAUUUGUGCAGAAAAUCUAGAGCAGCGAGAUUUGAAAUGUGGAUACGCACCUCUUUUAGUAAUUGUUAUUAGGAUGUCUACCAUAUAAUAGUUUUUUCUUUAAAUUUCUUUCCGUUUAAUCAUUCACACUGAUUUAAAUAAAUAAUGAAUAAUUCUGCGGCGGCAAAUAAAUACCACAAAUCUAUUAUUAUCCGGCAUUGUACAGUUUUAAACCGCGAGUACACUGAUCUGACCAAAUUUGUUAUGCAAACAAGGGAAGACAGUCCAAGAAAUGCAAAAACACAUGAGAAGUGGGAAAAAUAUUUUUAAAAUUCCGCCGGAUGUCUCUAGAUACGUUUUAUCAACUGUUUCAGAUAUUUCGGACACAUCCGCCGUCUUUUUAGGGUAUCGUAGGGUUCGGCUACUGUCGUUAUAUAUUUUUAUUUUGUUCCGGAAGGUUUGAAUUUCGUAAGUCCGCGAUACAGGAAUUUUACCUUGACUUUUUUUUCUUCACAAUUUAUUAUUUCAUAAUUGCUCAAGUUGAAGAACUUCCGUCUUUCGAAUAUAUCCCGCGCAUAAUAAAUAUCAGUGUGUGGAAUGUUUUUUGAAAAACAUUUGAAUAAUUUUUGAAAGAUUCCCCCGCAAGGGCUUGUGGUUCCCAAUAAGAAUUUCAGGAGAUAAAUGGUUCUGAGGACAUUUAAUUUUUUGGAGAAUCUUCGGACGGCUAUUUUCCAAGACUGGCCCAGACUUGGUCCAAUUGUUAAUUGCUACCUGGGUGAUUGGAGUCAGCUGACCGCGUGUGACUGUCGGGGCCUCGGUGCGCCGUCUAUGGAAGCGGCGCAUAAUUAAUGGGCUAAACCACCCAAAUACGGGGCGUUGGUGGCUUUGCCCUGGGAAAAACAGAGGCAGAAUUAUAAAAUGUACAUCUCUCGGUUUUUCUCGUGGCCAAUUAGACGCCUCGCUGUCGUGUCAUGAGAGUAAAAAAAAAAACUACGGGAGACAGAGUAUGACAGAGUGAGAGAGGGAGAGAGAGAACAACAUCGUGAGAGUAUUGGUGAAAUAAUUGCGUGAACCACUGCACAAGUUGCCGUUUUUCUACGACGUUUUAUUUAUAUUUUUUUCAUUUUUUAUUUCACUGUCUUCAUCGCAAAUAUCUCUGUAGCUGUUAAAAUCUCCGGAGUAUCAUUUUCGUGGUGACACUCGGUAUGAAAGAACUCUUCAGGAUUUUUCUCGCUCCGUUUAUUUUUUUUUCACCGGAGAUCUUCCAGAUGUUUUCAUCAGAAUCAUCAAGGAAUCUUCGGUCGAUUUGUCUAGUGAUCCAGAAAGAUGAUUUGGAAGAUUUUCGGACGAUAAUGUUUUCUUAGGAGAGAUUCGGGUAGAUAAAAUUUUUUCUGCAGAAGAUCUUCAGCAGACAUCAAUAUUUCUAUAUGAGAAAAUUGAGAACAAAUUGCAAAAAAAAUUGUCUUCCCAAAAUCUUCCAAAGAAGACCCUCUGACGAUCGUUCCAUAAUUUUUCUGACUUUUUAUGGAAGAUCUUCGGCAGACAACAAUUUUUCUAGACAGGCAGUCACGCGUGAAGGUGCGUGUCUCAAAACCGUCCUUUUUAUGAUUCGAAGUGUGUUGCAAUAUCUCCGGGGAAUCGAUUGUAUCGCGAAGUUGGCUCGACCUACAUUAGCUCCAAAUUGAAGCACUCAAUUAUUUUUCUUUAUUUUUUUCGUCAAAUGUUUUUUCUUCUAAGCGUGGGCAUAUCCUCUGAGAAAUCAAUGGAAAAUUGAAAGGCAUCGCCUGCUCUCCAGUUAUUUACUGUUAUUAUUAUUACUUUUUAUUAUUGACCGAGUACCGUGGAAGGACACGAAAUAAUGCCGCCGAUUUUAUCGCCCAUAUUCUCGGGUAAAAGUCAGGGGAGGUGGAUGGAGCUGAAAGAAAAUUAAAAAAUAAUUUAAAGAUGAUACGACAAUGAGAUUCGAUGUAAUGUGACUUUUUAUUGGCGCAUGAAUUUGUCCGACAUGACACGUGUUUCGCGUAUACACUGAGUUGGUAUUCUUAUUGUGCCAUAAAUACCUGUUAUCGUGUCCGAGUAAAAGUCUUGGGAGAAUCGUCAAACGGUUGAGGCAUUGUCACAUAAACCGCUGAGGAAUUUUCAACAGACGAAGGGGAAAUAAAGAGGAAACGUGGGAGUUGGCUCUGUCAAGGUCACUGAAUAGUUUCUUAUCGACGUUGGGGGAUGUAGGGAGGUGAAGAUAAAAUGGACGCGGAAAGGAAAAAAGUGAAAAAAAUGGAUUUAAAAAAAUUAUGACAUUGAAACCCAGGUAGGAAUUGGCAAUUGGACCAAGGCUGGACCAGGCUUGGGCCAGGACAAGCCAAACCUGUUCCUAGACUGACAUCAUAGCUUGGACCUAGCGUGGGAUACGUUGGGAGUGAAAGAACGGAACAAGCUUGGAAAGUUCAGCUUGGCCUAAGGGCCAGGCCCAACAUAGGGCCGUUUCAGCAAAUUUAAAUAAAAAAAUUUAUUGAGGGGGAUAAACGAUUUAUGAUAUAAAAAAUAUUUAUGUAACUACUCAGUGGCAUGCUCACUGUUAACUCUCCACUAUGAUAUGCUGACAACUUUUGCUUGUUUGUUAUUUCCAACGAUUAUUGGCAUUUCCCACACAAAAAAAAUGAAAAUAAUGAUUAAGAUAAUGAGGACAUUGUUGAGUUAACGAAUGCGGGAAUCGACUCGUUCUAUCCUCUUUAUAAUUCCUAUUUUCUGAAUAUUCAUAUCGACCGCUUCUUUUCCUCGUUGCGAUUGCGCAAUGAAUUGUUAUGGUAAAAAUAUAAAAUGUUAAUGAAAUCAGAUAGCGCCUGCUUUAUCAAAAUUUUCUCAGUACCACUGGCGAAUUAAUACAUUACGACAACGCAAAACUGUGUUUAAGAACAAAUAAAUGCUAUUUUAAUCCAACUUUUUCCCGUAAAAAUUGCGUAACGAUUACAGAGACAAAAAUGUCUUACAAAAUUUAUGGUAUUCAUGGUAAUUUUUACGUGCGAAUAAAACCCACUCCAAUAUUCUAGCAUUUUGCACCUCGACUCUGGUGCCCGUCACAGUAAUUUUUCUGGGGCUUUUCUCUCCUCGUAGGGAGGACAGGAGUAUAUUUCUCGGUCCGUUGAAUUUCCCCGCCUUUUCGGACGCGUGCUUGUUCCACAACUACGCAAACAAUUGGAAUUACAAAGAGUUCCGAAAAUACCAGACAAUGGGGGAGAUGACAGAGGAAUUGGAAUAAAAAUCCGGAAAUAAUUUGCUCCUCUGAAAAUAGCUGGAUUUGCAAAGACAAAGGAUGUUUCUAUGAAUUCAGUGACACGUUAAUGCUUAACAACAGGUAUAUAACAGCAUUAUACGUGUGGUACACCCGUGUGUGCGUGAUAGUAGUUUUCAUUCAUAGUCGGGACUGAAUAACAGAAAUGGGCUUCAUAAAUGCGAUGACGCGGUGCGCCGACACGAAAGGGGGUCGUUACAAAGCGUAUGGGUUUGAAUUGUUUGCACGUCGGUUAUUAUUAUUUUUUUCCUUCAUUUCUACCGAUUCGAUUGAUAAUGUGCUACCGAGUGAAUCAAAAUUAAAAUCCAAAUGAAAAUUGACUGCGGUGAAAAGAAAACUCACGGAAUAAAAAAAUCACGCAAUAAAAUAGAGCAGACAAUUUUAGGACGCCUUUAAAUCCAAGUAUGGCCAGCCAAUGUAAUGCCAACAUAACAGUUUUUGCGUUAAAUUUCUCUUUACACAGUUGUUCCUCCCAACUUUGGAUUAAAUUCACCGAAAAUAUCCGACGUUUCGCCCCCUGAAUUACACAACCACCGCAGGUCUCCAGUAGUAGUGUCCCACAAUGGUCAGACUCCAUUAAACUUCGUAAUGAAAAUAAAAAAAGAAAUGUCACGUAUUGUUCGUGAUAAUUAUCUCAACUUUGUCAAACAACGACGCACGACCCCAGAUAAUUUCUAAUCCCGAGUGUCUCGUGGAGUUGUGCAAUAACCAGCAAUAUAUUAUUCAUAGAUAACACAGAAAUACGUUAUAACUCGUUUCUAAAACGACUUUCCCUGGUGUGCGAUCUCGUGAACGGCAACAAAUCAACGGGUUUAAUGAUUCGGGGAGGGAAUUUAUUUUUUCACACUCGCUGAACCAAUCUAUCUUUCGCCCAACUUGAACCUAUAAUUGCAACAGUUAUGCAAACUGUCGUUGAUUACUGGAAUCGUUAUCAGUUGACUAUUUCACAUGAGGAAAAUACAAUUUUUCAGUAAGAAAUUCAAAUACUUCGAUAGUUAUUUUCUGGAAUUAAAUAUUUUUAUAUUUUUGUAUUUGAUAUGUUGCAAUUGAUUUGAUCCCGAGUUCCUGCAGAUCUUGCAAUAAUUUUUACGUCUUGAAGUUUUGCAAAAAUAUCGGAAAAUCUGAAAGAAAAAUUGUAAGUUUAUUUGUAAAAAUUUUAAUUGUUGGAAAUAACGUUUAAAUCGCUUUCAUUAUUUAUUCACUAAACAUAACGUUGAAAUAACAAUAAUUUUCUGAGAAAUGUUAUCUGCAUGAUACUGAAUAUUCACAAUUUGUCAUUAAUAUAUGACGCUAUCAGGAAUAUUGUGAAGUUUAAUUAACAAAGACUUUUCAUUCUCAAUAACAGAAACUGUAAUGCAAUUUCAAUAAAACACAAUUAACAUUAAACUAAAAUUGAUAAUAAAACACAAUUUUCCAUGAUAAAUGAUAAAUGAUUUUCCAUGAUAAAUGAUUUUCGAAGAAUCAAAAGAAUAAAAAAUGAAAAUCAAAAUGACGUACCAUUUCGAUGCUCCGGAGUUGAUAAUUGACUUCAGUACUUUCUCGAUUAAAAGCCCCAGUGUUUACGGAACGGUUUCCAUGUGCGGUAAAUAUGUGAAAUGGGGGCGGUUAAAGACGGAGUCAUUGAUUUGCGACAAUGGGGGAACUACGGCGGUGUAUAGGACACCCAGUACCGAGAAGCCAAUGAAUACCAUUUCACUAUUACACGAUAAAUGUAAUAUUCAGUACUCACGUUGUAAAAUGGAUUUGAAUGGAAAUUUUUAUUUUCUUGUCAAUUGUCUGAGGAAAGAAUUUCAGAAUAGCGAAACAGCGCGAAAUAAUAUAUGAAUAAUACAUAUAAUAUAUAAUAUAUUCUUCGAAUAUGGAAUUAUGUAGAACAAUAAAUGAAAAAAUAUAUUUUAUAUAAUUUUUCUAUAUCAAUUUGGAGAAUUCCGUUCAUCAAAUAUAUAAUUUUCAGAACAUCGAUAUUUGAUUUGGAAAUUCUGGUGAAUAUUAUAUUCGCCGGAAUUAUAUGAGAUUAUUAUGUUAUUAUUAUAUUAUAUUUAUUAUAUUUACCAUAUUCUUACAAUAUUACAAAUAAAAAUAGGAAAAUUGAAUUUACAUUUGGAAUUUUUGUAGAAAAAUUCUCGUGAUCGGUAAAAUCACGAGAAAUUUCGAAAAAGUUCUCGAUAUCUCCAACAUUUCCGCACUAGUACCGGAAUUUUUCUUUGAGAAAUCUCUCGGCGCAUCGAAAUUCCUCACUAAUAAUGCCAUUGACGUUUCACUUGAUUUUUAAAUCUCCUCUUGUUACUGCCAACCGCACGUCAAACCCUAGAAGUGCAUUCGUCACUGCGAAAUGCCCCGGAGCAAAAGUGCACGUGCACUAAUAGUUUAUCCUCGACAACAGAAAACUUCAAUCAUCGGGACUGUCGAUGAAAUUGUCUGAGAAAAAUUGCCAGACAUCACUUGACAAUAAAAUGUUCAUCUGAUCUUUGAGUUAAUUGACAGAAAAUUGAAUAAAUUAUUUAUUUUAUUAUGUGACCAAAAUAAAAAUAUUAUAAACCGAAGAUCCACUCAAAUACCCAUUACCUAAUUAACGUCAAUUACUUGUACGAAAAUCACGAUUAUCCACCCGUUUACGAUUAUCCAUAAUUUUUGAAGUUCUCAGUAAUAGGAAUGUGAACCGUGAAAUGUUCAAUUAUCCAAUUUGAUUAGCACUCGGAUAAAGGGGAAGGUGAUGCACACCAGAUACCUGCAAUUAUCAUGCUAAAGAAAUUAGCAAUUGCGACACUUCAUUCCUUAAUGGUCCUUUUUUUUUUAUUCACUAGUGUCUCGCGGCUUCGGUAGGCACUCGUUCACGUGCGCGAUAACGACUUCGCGAAAUGUCUUGUUUCAUGGACAUUAGCCCAGAUCUCGUGACACGGUGAGAGUCAAUGACGUGUCCAUGGCGCAAUUAAAAGACAGGAGUAUUUCAAAGAUACGUGAUUUUUUUUUUCUACAACAUUUUUUUGCUCCAAUUAUUUCCCUCUGUCUUGCUUUUUUUUUCCUCAGCAAUUUCUCGUUAUUUACUCUCGAUGAGGAAAGAUAUUGUGAAAAAAAUGUAAAUGAGAAUCAAUUAAUUUUGCUAAUUACAAAAUUAAAUCGAUUGGUGUUAUUUAUUGCAGAUAAUUCAGAGGUAAUGAGACAAUAUGUCAAUCACGGUAUCUGUAGUCAUUGCAGUUCCGAUCAAUCAUCACUUCACGUUUCUUGGCGUGUGAUAAAUGCGGUAAAAAUACUGGAACAAAGAAUAAAAUUUAGUCAGCGUUAUUAUGCGGAAAAGUGAGUGAAAAAUGUGUUUUAUUUUCCCUGGAAUCCGCGCGGAAGCCGUUCAUCCCGUCCGCAUUGAUUUUGUUGAGCAACACGUACCGAAGAGAAAUGCAAAUGCAUUGAAAAAAAAAUACCGGUAGAUUUUUGCAAUUGAAAUUAAUUUUAUAAUCGAUACCUGACUAAUUCCUCUGCAAUUAAGAUGAUAAAUUAAAAAAAUUAUGGGGAGAAUUGUCAAAUUACGUUCAAACAACUUCGAAGGUGCAUUUUUGCAAUCAAAAUUAAUUUGAUAAUUGACACCUGACUAAUUUCUCGACAAUUAAAACGGAAAAUUAAAAAAAAAUCAUCAACUGAAUUUUCAAAUUACUACGAAAGGACUUUCUAUCGUUGAACAAAUGUUAAUUGGAGUGGGGGCGGCGGGGGGAGAGGGGGAGCAGUAGGAUGAGUGCAAUUACUCGUCGACCUUAUCGAGCGUAAAUUUCGAAAUAGCUAAAGCCAAUUCCGGGAAAGUUUUUGCUGAACGAAAAGUCUGACCAUUAAUACACUAUUUUGUUUUAUAAAAUUUCAAACAUUUAAACUUCCUCGGUAGCUUCGUUGUGUACACAGUGAGAUUACGGAAUGCAGUGUAAAGUAUCCUAACAGGGAUGUAUUUAUAUUUAUUUACACUGAGUUACAUGGGAGGCACGUAAUUCAGUGGACUUCGUCUUGUAAACAACAUCAGACAGUACGAGUCAAGUGAAACAAGUCUGGUGCAUUGUGUUACCGGUUUCUACAUAUUCCUCGGUAGCUUUACUUCCGUAUGGACGCUUUGUAAUUGUUCGAUUUUGGAUUUUUUAAUUUUGCUUGGAAAUUAUGUAGAAUGGGAUGAAACGUAAAAAUGCAAAAUUUGAACACAUGUGUGUGUGGGCGGAUGGUCGACUUGAUCCACCCUUUUAGAAAAUUGAAGGGGGAGAUGGGUAAAGUUAUUCGGAGAAAGGUCGAAUUUCGUCAAAUCACACCAAAAGUCAUAGCUCCAUUGGUCCAACCGUUUUUCAUAACUUUCCAUUUCGUUCUGAACCGAUUUCAAUUGAUUUCACCUGUCAAAAGACUCGUAUCGAUGUGCUCCAUGUCAAUGGAGUCCUUCGAAAGGUCUCUGAACAAAUUAUGUCUUUCCGACAAAAAUUGUCUUUGAAAGAUUCUUCUGAAGAUUAUUCCAAGAUAAAAUAUUUUUCCCUGCGGCUCCUCUCGAUCCUAACUUCUAAUAGAAAAACAACGUAAUUGAUCGAUUCUCAAUUAUCAUAACCACAAACUCGUCCUCAACUUGCGGAAGAAAGUCCGGAAUAAAUUACAACGCAAUAAUUCACUAUCGGAUAAUAAAAAAAAGUGAAAGGACGGCUCGUAUGAUCCAGAAGGACUCGAGUGAAUCUACGCGUUAUGAAAUACACAAUUGGCGAGAAAAAAAUACCGGGGGAGAGUAAACUGUUGCCGAUGCGGACAAAAGUUUGAUAUACGUUCGCUUCUGACGUCACACAAUGAUUGGUCGUAAAUAAGAAUUCGGUCCACACGAGCUGGCGCGUGGGUGUAGCACCGAUGGGUCUGGUUAAUGGUGUUAGUUCAGGAUGAUGGGAUUUACAUUCCUCGCAAGAAGCUUGAACCAGGCUCGCUACCGAGCUUCGGGGUGCCCUAUCGAAGUAACGUCGGUUCUAGGUUGGCAACACCAGCAGUUUGUCAGUUUAGAGUCAAUCAAACUUCGUCUUGUUGUCAAUCUUUGGCGAUUCUUACUGGAGUGACCCGUCAAGUCCGAACUGAACUAAUUCCUAUUUCUCAAAUUUGAGAACAACCAUUUUCUUUAUUUAAUUUAAACGAGCGCUCCUCACUCAUUCUGUCUUUAUCAAUACAAUCUUUCUCCCAGAAAUGACCUCAUAUGGCCCGACAAAGACCAUCCUUAUGGGGCAAAGAAUUUUUUUUUUUUUCAAUUUUUAUCCACUUGAAAAUACAAAUACAGACGUUAUUAGUUCAAUCAGUGGAGGAAUGGCGUAAUGACGAAGUCAGGGGGAUGUUACACACACUCUCACGCGCUUUAAUGACAUUCUUCGGACUACGUGAGCUCGACCGAGUUUGCGAUACGUGCGGAUCGUUUCAGAGAUGCCCAAUUGGUCUAGUAGUUUUUUUUUCCUCUUCCAUUCUUUUUAAUGGGCAGUCUUCUUGUAAACACGAGAUACAACGUACGUGCACCUGCUAAUUGGGUCAUAUCAGUGAAGAAGAAAGAAAUUCAGGGGAAACAAUUUCAUUAAUAUUAAUUUCACGUCAAAUUUAUUCGGUUUUCUCUUCGGUUUCUCGGGGUGUAUGCACUGAGAAAAAUAUAUUUUUUAAGAAUGUAAUACACACAGAGAAAUUUUUGUUAAAAAUGCGUAGCUAAAAAUAUCAAUUUUCAAUUUAUAAGAGCCGUCAUUAACAUUUAUUUUGAUGCAUCGUUACAGCUCGAUCGGUUCCGUUGUUCUGGAGAUAUUAGUUUCGUUUUUAUUCAAUAUCUCAAAAACUACUGCAAAGAUUUCACUUUUUUUGAAACCGAAUUUGUGCCAUUCAGAAGCUCACCACUACAUCACAUUAAAUAAAAAUCCUCCCCUACUUUAAACGUCAAUAUUUUUGGAUCUUUCAAGUUCCAUUGACUCCACCAUUUUCUAAGAAACUUUACUGGACAAUUUCAAAUGCUACAAAUAAGCAAUUACUCCGGGAGGAGGAGAAUUCCGUCGCACGUCGUGACUGAUUUGCGUUAGCACGAGAUCAGUUGUGAAGCCCACAAGGGUUCACCUCUCUCAAAGUCGAAUGGAACAUUUCCUGUACAUCGUCGAGUGCCUUUGGGGGUUUCCCCCUUCUUAUUAACUCACCCUUCAUACCUCCACCCCCGUCAUUCAACCCACCUCCCUCCAUUCAUUUUCCCUGAAUUCAUCCACUCAUUUUUUACUUGUUUUCCGUCACAACUGCCCUCUUAUCUUGGGAGCCGUCUACGCCCAUUGCUCCUUUCCAAUUCGAUGGCUUUGACCUCAUCCCAGAAUGUAUAACUGACGGAAGUGACUUGACAUCAAAAAAGAAAACGAGACGCGAUGACGUGAAUGGCGAUUAGUUCGAUUGUGGCAUUGAGAUUGCACUGGAUUUACUCGAUUCGGAUUAAUUCGUAUUUGGUCGUCAUACAAACGAUCAAUCGAUUACUCAUUUCCAUAUUUUGCCUAUUCAAUUUAUUCAAAUGGGAAACGGAAUUUAGCGACGUGAGGAUAAGCAUUUCUUUCCUCAAAAAUUCAAAUUAAUUUUUGUUACUUUCAAUUUCAUUGUUUUUCCAUCGGUUUUCCCUGUUACGAAUAAUUGCUCGUAUUGCAGAAUGCUGAUUACGGUGUGUACAAAAAUUUAAAAGUUAAUGAUCGCAACAUGACACUGCAAAUCACAAGUGAAUGAAGCGUCAUCGCACUCAGCUGUUGCGCCAGCGCAUGAAAGCCGAUAGCGAGAAGGUGAAGAGAAAAAAAAAACUGUUGAAAUGCAUUGCCGUUAGAAAUAAGAAAUAAAGAAUAACCCAGAGACCGGGGAAAAUGGAUAUCGUCAUCUGACGUAGGAUGCUAGGCGUCAAGGAAAAGCGCUAGUUGCCAACUGUCGGCUACCGACUCUGCUACUAUUCGCGAAAUACCCGGCGCCACAGCGUCCGCUUCAUUAAUGUAAUUCGCAUAAUCUCCGCCCGGACGAUGAUGAGACUGUACCCCGACACUGUAUUUUCAUUUACGUUGUGCAUAAAUUUAUUUUUCAAGAUGAAAAUGAAAUUUACGUUAUCGUGAAAUUUACCUUCAUUUAUAUAUAUAUAUAUAUAAAAAUAUAUAUAUGUAUAUAUUAUAUUUGUUGUAUAUAGUUGAAGUCUUUAGUCUUCGAAUUAGGAUUUUUCCAGUUCGUAGAAGGACACGAAAUAAAAAAAAUAGUUUUUUCACGUUUCAUAACAUUCUGAAACUGAAAAUUUGCAGAUUGAUUGCUAACAUCCAAUUGAAAGUAGGAAAUCGAAAAAUCUUGCAAAUGCAAUUCUUUUAUGCGGAAGCAAAAUAUGAUUUCGCUUACAAAAUAUGACCCACAUGUUUCUCCUCCAUCGCAAUGCCACCAUUACCAUCCUCUUUACGUCUGUGUGUCACAGAUGGGCCUCUUUCUCUUCUUGCACGACUCUUACGUCACAUUAAAACCGCUCUGAGCCCAUACACAAAUGUGUUAAUAUGUCAUAUACAACGAAUAAUUCAACUAAACUUUCUGGGGUCCAUGAGACUCCCUCAGUCUCGUUCUCUCGAGAGCACGACCAAGUGCGAAACAUUAAUCGUUUCACAAAAGUGGAGUCUCGGAGGAUUAUAAUUGAAUAGAGAGAAUUUUUAUAGUGUGAUAGAAAGGAGUUCUGUCGAUUUGUCAUUUAACCUCAAAUAAAACAUGAUAGACCUUCAAAUUUUAUGGUGGUGUUACGGAAUUUUUUGAAGGCGCAUAUCAUUAAUCACAAAACGUAUUAGAGAAUUUAUGGGAUUGAUAGGAAUUUUUAUGUGUGAAUAAAACACAUUCCAGUAUUCCGUCAUUUCGCAUAUCGAUUCUAGUGUCCGGCAGAGUAAUUUUUCAGACUUUUCUCUUUGUGUUAUCUCGUAGAUGAAUAUUGUGCAUUGAACCUCGGAUGAGUUCAACGAGACCGUUCCAUUUUCCCUCUCAAUUGCACUUUCAUUUUUUCAUUCUUUCCUUAUUUGAAAAUUUAACUCUUUCUUUUUUUCAUGGUUCUCUUUUUUUUCA